CCUACGGGAGGCAGCAGUGGGGAAUAUUGCACAAUGGGGGAAACCCUGAUGCAGCAACGCCGCGUGGGUGAAGGAGCGCUUCGGCGUGUAAAGCCCUGUCAGCGGGGAAGAAGCAAGACGGUACCCGACCAAGAAGCCCCGGCUAACUACGUGCCAGCAGCCGCGGUAAUACGUAGGGGGCGAGCGUUAUCCGGAAUUACUGGGUGUAAAGGGAGCGUAGACGGCGAGGGAAGCCGGAGGUGGAAGCCCGCGGCCCAACCGCGGAACUGCUUUUGGAACUGGUUGGCUGGAGUGUGGGAGGGGUAGGCGGAAUUCCUGGUGUAGCGGUGAAAUGCGUAGAUAUCAGGAGGAACACCGGUGGCGAAGGCGGCUUACUGGACCAUGACUGACGUUGAGGCUCGAAAGCGUGGGGAGCGAACAGGAUUAGAUACCCUAGUAGUC
Molecule: ribosomal RNA, 441 nt
Filed under: uncultured bacterium
Lineage: Bacteria
Description: partial 16S ribosomal RNA
Rfam family: Bacterial small subunit ribosomal RNA
Source: RNAcentral